GGGCUCGUAGCGCAGCAUGGAUAGCGCGGCAGCCUCCUAAGCUGUAGAAGAUCAUUAUUGAUCUUUGGCUAAAGGUCGAGGGUUCAAAUCCCUCCGAGCCCG
This 102-nucleotide transfer RNA is filed under the name Nitrososphaerales archaeon. Its description in RNAcentral is "tRNA-Arg". It matches the Rfam family "tRNA". From Rfam's summary of the family: Transfer RNA (tRNA) molecules are approximately 80 nucleotides in length. Their secondary structure includes four short double-helical elements and three loops (D, anti-codon, and T loops). Lineage: Archaea; Thermoproteati; Nitrososphaerota; Nitrososphaeria; Nitrososphaerales. The record is from RNAcentral.